CACUGUGGGCAGAAAUUUCGCGGGCCGGAUGGCACCGCGUCGCGGGCCGGAUAUGGCCCGCGGGCCGUAGGUUGUGCAUCCCUGGUCCAAAGUAACGAACAUUAUUUCGUUGGAUUUUUUUUUUUGUUAUUUUUUUAUUUUUUUGUUUAAAUUCAGCCUGAACGCCCAAAUCUUCAGUGCAGAGGUAAGAGAGAGAGAAAAAAAAAGAAGUCUCUAGCUGUAAACAGGUCGGGGUAAUCCAAGUACAUGAGUCACACCCACAAAAAGCCGACUGUCACCCUACGGGAUGCCGUGACCUUUUGUCGGGUCUGUGUCGAGGAUUGUCGAGCUGUCUGUCGUGUCUUGUGAUAAACAACCAGAAAUCUUUGGCUUUUGCUACUACUGGUGGGAAAGGAAAAACAUACAACUAAAGAGGAGAGGAGAAAAUAUUUUGAAAUCCUCCAUUAUUCACUACAAGGAGUGACACGUACCAUUCCCGUAUCUAUCCCGUCAGUGGAAGUCUGUGAAGGUAUGUGUCAGGUCAAGUCGUGGACAGAAAUGGAAGAUAUUUGUCACCAGGAUGUAGCUGGAGACAGUCACCAACUGCCUGCAGUCCCUCCAAGCGAGGAGGAAGAGUACUGCGCACUCAUGUUGUCAGACGGCAAGAUGAGCUGGGAGGAUGUGUACCACGUGACUUUUCUCACAGUGUUUCCUGCUGUCUUCUUUGUGCUGGCCAUCGUCCUCAUGCAUGUGUACAAUGAUUGACAUAUUCUGUACACUGUUGACAGACGCUUUUUUCAGAACAUUUUUAAUUAAUUAAUCUUAGAAAAACCGAAAAAUCAAUGCAUCAUUUACACAAAAAAUACACAUUUUCUUUUUCUCGUAAAAAACGAAACAUACAUUGGCAUUUAACAGAAAUGUACGCACCAAGCAACAUUUGAUUUUUAUCUUUAUGUAAUUAAAUAUUUUCCAGAUUCCUCAAUGUAUUAUCAGUCUUCUCCUGAUGUCACUGACCGUUAUUCUCUGGAGUUACAGUGAUCACCCUUUACAGCGACUCCUCGCUUUGUUCUUCCUUCUACAUCUUUGUGAUUGUUUUGCGAUCUUGUUCAGUUUAUUGAGUUUGCCUUUGGCUGAGAUAUUGUAUAAAUUCUCAGUUAUUAUUAAAAACACAAUAUAGUAGAA
Molecule: long non-coding RNA, 1161 nt
Organism: Pomacea canaliculata
Lineage: Eukaryota; Metazoa; Mollusca; Gastropoda; Architaenioglossa; Ampullariidae
Exons: 2
Source: RefSeq, a predicted model, not a curated record